Molecule: transfer RNA, 81 nt
Filed under: Gossypium arboreum
Lineage: Eukaryota; Viridiplantae; Streptophyta; Magnoliopsida; Malvales; Malvaceae
Rfam family: tRNA
About the family: Transfer RNA (tRNA) molecules are approximately 80 nucleotides in length. Their secondary structure includes four short double-helical elements and three loops (D, anti-codon, and T loops).
Source: Rfam by way of RNAcentral
AUCGCCUUGGCCGAGUGGUUAAGGCAUGUGCCUGCUAAGUACAUGGGAUUUUUUGCGAAAGUUUGAAUCUCUCAGGCGACG